GAAGGUCAGAAAGCUUCACAAGGAUUCAGAGCAAGUAGAGUGAUUUGCUGAGGGUCACACAGCCAGGAUGUAGUGGAUCUGAGGUGUGAACUCACGCCUCCUGGCACAAAGCCCGCUCCACCUGCUGGAGGAAGCCAGGACAAGGCAUGCAGCCUGGACACACAGAAGUCAAUCAUCUCAUCCUCUGCUGGUUGCUGAGAAACACCCCCUGAGCAAAUGCUGAGCCUAUUGCUGGGUCCAGGGCCGGGGACGCUGCGAGGAGAGCUGACUAAUAAACCUUCCCCAGCCUCUAACAGGGGGACCUUACAUCAACAGCUAA
Homo sapiens (human) is the source of this 319-nucleotide long non-coding RNA. The record is from Ensembl. Lineage: Eukaryota; Metazoa; Chordata; Mammalia; Primates; Hominidae.